CUCCCUGUAGCUCAGUGGAUUAGAGCGUUUGAUUCCGGUUCAAAAGGUCGUAGGUUCGAAUCCUAUCAGGGAGG
Molecule: transfer RNA, 74 nt
Filed under: Candidatus Opitulatrix roisinitermitis
Lineage: Bacteria; Bacillati; Actinomycetota; Actinomycetes; Bifidobacteriales; Bifidobacteriaceae
Description: tRNA-Arg
Rfam family: tRNA
About the family: Transfer RNA (tRNA) molecules are approximately 80 nucleotides in length. Their secondary structure includes four short double-helical elements and three loops (D, anti-codon, and T loops).
Source: RNAcentral